GGUGAGAUGGCUCAGUGGGUAAGAGCACCCGACUGUUCUUCCGAAGGUCCAGGGUUCAAAUCCCAGCAACCA
RNAcentral lists this transfer RNA (72 nucleotides) under Mus musculus (house mouse). RNAcentral's name for it is "tRNA-Asn". Lineage: Eukaryota; Metazoa; Chordata; Mammalia; Rodentia; Muridae. The record is from RNAcentral.